CUCCGCUUGUUUUGUCUGAUAGGACCGUUAUCUGCUCUAUCGGAUGCUAAUUAAGUGGUGCUGGUGCGGCGUACUCACACGUGGAUUUUCUAUAGAUCGGAGAGGGUAUGAAUAAAAUUUGUUUACUUGCGUCGAAUAUUUUCUAGCGGAGGGGAAAGCAGUUGGGAUUGCUAUGCAGGUAAGGUUCUCCUCAUCCCUUCUUUUCCUAUUUUUCAC
RNAcentral lists this long non-coding RNA (216 nucleotides) under Phoenix dactylifera (date palm). Its description in RNAcentral is "long non-coding RNA (PDAC_LNC005666)". The record is from RNAcentral. Lineage: Eukaryota; Viridiplantae; Streptophyta; Magnoliopsida; Arecales; Arecaceae.